Molecule: ribosomal RNA, 428 nt
Filed under: uncultured bacterium
Lineage: Bacteria
Description: bacterial SSU rRNA
Rfam family: Bacterial small subunit ribosomal RNA
Source: RNAcentral
AGGGAAUCUUCCACAAUGGGCGAAAGCCUGAUGGAGCAACGCCGCGUGGGUGAAGAAGGUCUUCGGAUCGUAAAACCCUCGUGGUAGAGAAGAAAGUGCAUGAGAGUAACUGUUCAUGUNUCGACGGUAUCUGACCAGAAAGCCACGGCUAACUACGUGCCAGGAGCCGCGGUAAUACGUAGGUGGCAAGCGUUAUCCGGAUUUAUUGGGCGUAAAGGGAACGCAGGCGGUCUUUUAAGUCUGAUGUGAAAGCCUUCGGCUUAACCGGAGUAGUGCAUUGGAAACUGGGAGACUUGAGUGCAGAAGAGGAGAGUGGAACUCCAUGUGUAGCGGUGAAAUGCGUAGAUAUAUGGAAGAACACCAGUGGCGAAAGCGGCUCUCUGGUCUGUAACUGACGCUGAGGUUCGAAAGCGUGGGUAGCAAACAGG